Molecule: ribosomal RNA, 389 nt
Filed under: uncultured bacterium
Lineage: Bacteria
Description: bacterial SSU rRNA
Rfam family: Bacterial small subunit ribosomal RNA
Source: RNAcentral
AAUCAACGCUGGCGGCGUGCCUAACACAUGCAAGUCGAGCGGUAAGGCCCUUUCGGGGGUACACGAGCGGCGAACGGGUGAGUAACACGUGGGUGACCUGCCCUCAGCUCUGGGAUAAGCCUGGGAAACCGGGUCUAAUACUGGAUAUGACUCCAUGACGCAUGUUGUGGGGUGGAAAGCCUUGUGCGGCUGAGGAUGGGCCCGCGGCCUAUCAGCUUGUUGGUGGGGGAUGGCCUACCAAGGCGACGACGGGUAGCCGGCCUGAGAGGGCGACCGGCCACACUGGGACUGAGACACGGCCCAGACUCCUACGGGAGGCAGCAGUGGGGAAUCUUGCGCAAUGGGCGAAAGCCUGACGCAGCGACGCCGCGUGAGGGAUGACGGCCUGG